UUCUUAGUAUAAGUGUGUCCCAUAAUUUUGUCCCAAAAAUAAAGUGGGCUAUUUGGGACAUAAUUAUAUUACAA
RNAcentral lists this microRNA precursor (74 nucleotides) under Marmota monax (woodchuck). The record is from RNAcentral. Lineage: Eukaryota; Metazoa; Chordata; Mammalia; Rodentia; Sciuridae.